CUGGAGUUUACAAGUGAAUUUGGCCCACCCCUUAAAACGUGGCUGGGAGUGAGCAUACUGUGACCUGACCCAGUUGGCCAGCACCUGGGUCCCCCUAUGUAUUGAGCCACACAUGCCAGCAGGUGGGCCCUCACCUGUCAGCUACCAAAACUGCAGUGGAAAUUCCUAUUUGUGGUAGGGAACUGCCAGGUCUGGGAAGCAGGAAGGACCCAUCACCUAAGAGCUUUGGGCUGGUCAGCAGGGAGAGUAAGAAUGCAGUGUGACUCAGGUCAUUGCCCUGGGAUGUAGGACAGAAAACAUAAAUCUGGAGCAACUUUGAAAUUCUUCUUUUCCAUGCCGUGCAGAUGAUAACUAAGGACCAGAUCUCCUUGUCCUAUGGGCUUUUAACAGAGAGAGUCUUGGGAAAACCGAAAACUAAGGGUUGCCAGAAGAAAACAUGAAGGAAACUUUCAGCUG
This is a long non-coding RNA of Mauremys mutica (yellowpond turtle), 456 nucleotides long. RefSeq lists it as uncharacterized. The transcript has 3 exons. NCBI's taxonomy places the organism in Eukaryota, Metazoa, Chordata, Testudines, Geoemydidae. The record is from RefSeq and is a predicted model, not a curated record.